AGUUCAGAAGUUUUGGCUUCAGCGCUGUCUGGUUUGGAUGCCAUCUCAGGCGAUAUACCAACAUGAAAUGAUUCCAGUCAACCAGCAUUCUAGAGCAGACUUGGAGGAGAGAAAACACUAAAGAAUGCAAGACAAAGCAUCAGAAGGAUACAACCCAAACAGCUGAGUGACCCAAAUGGCAGGAAGUGCUUCCAGAACUUGAUUCACAAGGAAACCAGAUAAAUGGAUUUUCAUAGCAAAUUUCAUCAUUUUUUGUGAAGGACUGCAGCAGGAAAAAAAAGAAUAGAAAACAAAAAG
This is a non-coding RNA of Pantherophis guttatus, 297 nucleotides long. The record is from RefSeq and is a predicted model, not a curated record. NCBI's taxonomy places the organism in Eukaryota, Metazoa, Chordata, Lepidosauria, Squamata, Colubridae.